CUACGGGACGCUGCAGUCGAGGAUAUUUAGCAAUGGGCGAAAGCCUGACUAUGCGACGCCGCGUGAGGGAUGAAGGUUUUCGGAUCGUAAACCUCUUUCGAUGGGAAAGAAUUUAGACGGUACCUAGAGAAGAAGCCACGGCUAACUCCGUGCCAGCAGCCGCGGUAAUACGGAGGUGGCAAGCGUUACUCGGAUUUACUGGGUGUAAAGGGCAAGUAGGCGUCUUGAAAAGUUCUUGGUGAAAUCCUUCUGCUUAACGGAAGAACUGCCAGGAAAACUGCCAAGAUUGAGGCUAGGAGAGGAGAGUAGAAUUCCCGGUGUAAGGGUGAAAUCUGUAGAUAUCGGGAGGAAAACCAGUAGCGAAGGCGGCUCUCUGGCCUAGUCCUGACGCUGAGUUGCGAAAGCUAGGGGAGCAAACAGGAUUAGAUACCCGAGUAGUC
RNAcentral lists this ribosomal RNA (440 nucleotides) under uncultured bacterium. RNAcentral describes it as "partial 16S ribosomal RNA". It matches the Rfam family "Bacterial small subunit ribosomal RNA", at positions 339 to 795 of the family's 1533-position model. The record is from RNAcentral.